Molecule: microRNA precursor, 91 nt
Organism: Saimiri boliviensis boliviensis (Bolivian squirrel monkey)
Lineage: Eukaryota; Metazoa; Chordata; Mammalia; Primates; Cebidae
Source: Ensembl
AAGUGCAAACUUAAGAGCUCUCUUUUCUAAGCCUGUGCCUUUUCUUUCCUUUGGCACAGGCUUAGAAAAGACAAUCCUUAAGUUUAUACUU